RNAcentral lists this long non-coding RNA (1265 nucleotides) under Anolis carolinensis (green anole). RNAcentral's name for it is "lncRNA (ENSACAG00000041201.1)". The record is from RNAcentral. Lineage: Eukaryota; Metazoa; Chordata; Lepidosauria; Squamata; Anolidae.
GCACCAACUAAAUUUACUGGAGGAGUUUGGGGGAUUGGCUUCACAUGGUGGAAGUUGUAGUUCACCGUGCAUCAAGUCAGAGCACUGUGACUCCUACUGGGGAAUGUAGAGGAGUUGUAGUUCACCUACACCCAGAAUGCUAUGAACCCAAACAAUGAUGAUUUUGGGCCAAAAUUGCCAUGCAUACCUGAUAUGCCCAGAUUUGAAUACUGGUGGGUUUUGAGGGGAAUUGGCCCGGACAUUUGGGAGUAGUAGGUACUGGGAUUUAUAGUUCACCUGCAAUGAAUGAGCACUCCGAACCCCUCCGAUGAUGGACCAGGACCAAACGUGGCACACAGAGCCCCCAUAACCAAAAGAGUAUAUUGGACAAGUUUGGGGGAAAGGGAGUUAUAGUUCACCUGCAUCCAGAGAAACAGUGACUCCCACCGACAAUUGACCAAACUUUGCACAGAGAAGCCUCAUGACCAACUGAACAUACUGCAGGGGUUUGUGGGAAUGGGCCUUGAUUUUGGGAGUUGUAGUUCACAUGCAUUCAAAGAGCACUGAACCCAGCCAACAAAAAACUGGGAAAACAUUGACUCCAGUAUAAGCUGAGAGUGGUAAAUUUCAAAAAUAAAAAUAGAUACCAAUAAAAUUACAUUAAUUGAGGCAUCCGUAGGUUAAAUGUUUUUUGAAUAUUUACAUAAAGCUCUAAUUUAUUCUAACUCUGAUUAAAUCAUUAUUCUCAUCUUCUUCAAAAUAAAUGUGCUUAUGUAUACUUUUAAUAAUAACUAGCUGUGCCCGGCCACGCGUUGCUGUGGCGAAGUAUGGUAGUAUGGGAAAUAAAGUAUUGAGGAAUUGGUGGUAGUUAAGGUAAAGGGUAAAGGUUUUCCCCUGACAUUAAGUCCAGUCAUGUCUGACUCUGGGGGUUGGGCUCAUCUCCAUUUCUAAGCCGAAAAGCUGGCAUUGUCCGUAGACUCCUCCAAAGUCAUGUGGGAUGACUGCAUGGAGCGGCGUUACCUUCCCGCCAGAGCAGUACCUAUUGAUGCACUCACAUUUGCAUGUUUUUGAACUUCUGGACCGAAAGGUCGCAGGUUCGAAUCCGGGGAGCAGAGUGAGUGCCCGCUGUUAGCUCCAGCUUCUGCCAGCCUAGUAGUUUGAAAACAUGCAAAUGUGAGUAGAUCAAUAGGUACCGCUCCGGCGGGAAGGUAACGGCACUCCAUGAAGUCAUGCCGGCCACAUGACCUUGGAGGUGUCUACGGACAACGCCGGCUCUUCGGCUUAGA